AGAACGAACGCUGGCGGCAUGCCUAACACAUGCAAGUCGAACGAGACCUUCGGGUCUAGUGGCGCACGGGUGCGUAACGCGUGGGAAUCUGCCCUUGGGUUCGGAAUAACAGUUGGAAACGACUGCUAAUACCGGAUGAUGACGUAAGUCCAAAGAUUUAUCGCCCAGGGAUGAGCCCGCGUAGGAUUAGCUAGUUGGUGAGGUAAAGGCUCACCAAGGCGACGAUCCUUAGCUGGUCUGAGAGGAUGAUCAGCCACACUGGGACUGAGACACGGCCCAGACUCCUACGGGAGCAGCAGUGGGAAUAUGACAAUGGGCGAAGGCCUAGAUCCAGCGAAUGGCCGCGUGAGUGAGUGAAGGCCUUAAGGGUUGUAAAGUCGUUACUUUUGGACCCGGGUAAGAUAAUGACUAGGUACCGGUAAGAAAUAAGGCUCCGGACUAACCGUCCGUGCCAGCCAGGCCGAC
Molecule: ribosomal RNA, 465 nt
Filed under: uncultured soil bacterium
Lineage: Bacteria
Description: bacterial SSU rRNA
Rfam family: Bacterial small subunit ribosomal RNA
Source: RNAcentral